AGCUUUGCGCAGUGCCAGUAUUGUAGCCAAUGAAGUUUACCUGAGGUGCGAUUUUUGCUAAAAGAGGUCAAGCUUAAUUUCCCUCCCCUUGAGUGUGGGCUGGAUUUAGUGACUUGCUGCUAACCA
Panthera pardus (leopard) is the source of this 126-nucleotide small nuclear RNA. Its record names the gene U4. It matches the Rfam family "U4 spliceosomal RNA". Rfam says of the family: U4 small nuclear RNA (U4 snRNA) is a component of the major U2-dependent spliceosome. The structure of U4 snRNA from yeast and human has been reported. NCBI's taxonomy places the organism in Eukaryota, Metazoa, Chordata, Mammalia, Carnivora, Felidae. The record is from Ensembl.